CUGGUCCGUCAGCUCUUCCCUGGAUGGCUUCUCCCCAGACAGACAGUUUGCACCUGACCUCAGCUGGAUCUUCACAGCUUGGGUGCUAAAAUCGUGCCAGGAAACUCGAUGAAGCUUCCCUCCUUUCCCACAGAAAGCAGGACAGGGCCUGGCUCACUCCGCCUGGCAGCAGGCUGCUGCAGAAACGCGGGGAAGAGCUGAGGUGCGAACCGCAAUCAUCCUCCAGCUCUGCGAGGUGUUAAUAGCUCUGUCUAGUCGGGGUCAUUUCAAUACUAAUGUCAUCGUGCAAAGGCAAUCGAAGAAACAAACACUCAGCCCUCAGCCAAGGGAGACUUCGAGACAUUUUUCUGUGUCGGUUUGUCCCAGCCGAGCUCCCCCCGGUUUCCCCAGGACCACGCAGUGUUGGUAUGCCGGGAGUGGCGCUGCCGGCUGCAGCCCUGGGUAGAGCGCGCUGUUUCUCCUGGCCAUGCUGGAGCUCACGCAAGCACUCCUCAGGCUUGUCCCAGGGCCCUGCAGCCUUGGCGGGAGACAAGGGCUGGUUUUGUGGCGUGAACACCUCUCUGCUCCCUCGGCCUCAAUCCAUCCUUCGCUUCGUCCGUUUGCCAGUCCUGGGACCUCCGCCUGGCUCAAACUGCUCAGGCUCCUUCGCCGACCUCAGGCAGUGGCUGYCACCACCUCCCAAGUCCAGCCGGGUGCACAGAGCAGCUCAGUUCUGUCCUGAGCAAAGGUCCAAGCCCUGCUUUGCUCCUGUGAGUCACCACACUGACUGCCUCGGGCAGCGGCUGCCCGGUCACGCUCGUGCCAUGUGGGUGGCACUGCUACGGCAGCAUGCUGCCAGGCCCGGGACAAAGCAGGCCACCUGCCCAGUGCGCUGCAGACGCGGCAGCGAGAGGGGCCCGAGCCCCUCGAGGGGACUGGAGGGACCACGAAGGCACAGUGCAGUGGGGAGAGGGGCUGGAGCCCGGGGGAUUAGAGGRCCACAGAGAGACGGUGUGGUGAGGAUGGUCCACGAGUGGCUGGCCUCAGCUAAAGGAGGAAGGAUGGAUGAGGGAGACAGUGCAAUGGGAAGGAGUCGGAAGAGUGCGGCGAGGUACCCGGCUCCCCAACGCAGAGGGCUGCGAGAAGCCUCCGCUGGAUGCGAGCUAGGGCUGGCAGAGGGGCCCAGGCUGCCUCCUCCCCGCUCCGGAGAAAUCCCCACGCGAGCGAUGGCCAGGCAGCGAGGAGGGAGCCCCGAGGCAGAGCCCGGGUGGGACGCGGCCAUCCCCGGCCUCGGACCUGCGGGGUUCAGCCGGGG
This 1294-nucleotide long non-coding RNA is filed under the name Dromaius novaehollandiae (emu). Its description in RNAcentral is "lncRNA (ENSDNVG00000004758.1)". Lineage: Eukaryota; Metazoa; Chordata; Aves; Casuariiformes; Dromaiidae. The record is from RNAcentral.